Molecule: long non-coding RNA, 974 nt
Filed under: Gallus gallus (chicken)
Lineage: Eukaryota; Metazoa; Chordata; Aves; Galliformes; Phasianidae
Description: lncRNA (ENSGALG00010013969.1)
Source: RNAcentral
UCAGCCUAGAGAAGAGGAGGCUCAGAGGAGACCUUAUUGCUCUCUAUAACUACCUGAAGGGAGGUUGUAGUGAGCUGGGGGCAUCACCUGCACUGCUUGUGGCAGCAGGUUAAACAUCCAAGCCAGCAUCCAGAGUGGCAUCAGGGCAUCUGGCUGGUCGUUUAUUUACAGCUGUCUGGUUUCUCUACAAAAUGAAGAAUGAGCCCAGAAAAGAAAAAUAUGCUAAUUGCAACCAGAAACGGUUGUCAGUAUGGUAACGGACAGAACAUAAAAAUAAUCAGGAAACACUGGCAUAUCCAAUUGCAUGCAAACAUCCUAGAUAUAACGUUUCCACUGGACUGGUUAGAAGAAUGAUCGGUAAUUUAAUUAAAUAUCACAACUCCCAUUGAACAUGGAAUUUCAGAAAACUUCUAAGAAAAUGGCCAACAGCUCUGAGAUGGCAUAUUUUGCUGUAGCAGAUAGCCUUACUGCUGAUUUUCUGUGACACUGGAGUUUCUUUAUCUUAUUUGCCAUCAGAAAGUGUCCGCAUAUAGUUCUGAAAUAAUUCUCAAGAAGAAAUGUUUGCUGCUAAAUUUCUUCACUAAACUCAAGAGAACAUCUCAGGCUAAAUCUGCUUUUGGUCCUUAGCAUAGGGCAGGGGAGGAACAGUCCCACAGUAAGAGGAACAAGGCAAAGUUUUAAUGGGCUGUUUUCCAACUGCUUCUGGCUUCCUGGAGAUGUGACAGUUAAACGGGAUGUUUUGCUGGCCUCCUGUGGGAUGGGAGUCCAAGAAAAGCACCAACAUGUCUGCUACUUGGAUCCAACUCAAGCCCUAAAGUGGGAUAAAUUUAAUUGGCAAUGCUGAUACUCCUUUCCUCUUUGCAAAUAUUCAUGAAAUUUUGUGUAGUUUGCAAGCAAGUGUAGACUACUAAAAUACUUUGUGAAAUAGAAUUAACAUUUCCCUCCAGCUCCUAUAAAUUAUUUAUAUCAGUGCU